AGACCCGAAACCCGGUGAUCUAGCCAUGGGCAGGUUGAAGGUUGGGUAACACUAACUGGAGGACCGAACCGACUAAUGUUGAAAAAUUAGCGGAUGACCUGUGGCUGGGGGUGAAAGGCCAAUCAAACCGGGAGAUAGCUGGUUCUCCCCGAAAGCUAUUUAGGUAGCGCCUCGUGAAUUCAUCUCCGGGGGUAGAGCACUGUUUCGGCUAGGGGGCCAUCCCGGCUUACCAACCCGAUGCAAACUGCGAAUACCGGAGAAUGUUAUCACGGGAGACACACGGCGGGUGCUAACGUCCGUCGUGAAGAGGGAAACAACCCAGACCGCCAGCUAAGGUCCCAAAGUCAUGGUUAAGUGGGAAACGAUGUGGGAAGGCCCAGACAGCCAGGAUGUUGGCUUAGAAGCAGCCAUCAUUUAAAGAAAGCGUAAUAGCUCACUGGUCGAGUCGGCCUGCGCGGAAGAUGUAACGGGGCUAAACCAUGCACCGAAGCUGCGGCAGCGACGCUUAUGCGUUGUUGGGUAGGGGAGCGUUCUGUAAGCCUGCGAAG
This 548-nucleotide ribosomal RNA is filed under the name Salmonella enterica. RNAcentral's name for it is "partial 23S ribosomal RNA". It matches the Rfam family "Bacterial large subunit ribosomal RNA", at positions 711 to 1255 of the family's 2925-position model. The record is from RNAcentral. Lineage: Bacteria; Pseudomonadati; Pseudomonadota; Gammaproteobacteria; Enterobacterales; Enterobacteriaceae.